Long non-coding RNA from Equus asinus (donkey), 1928 nucleotides. The record is from Ensembl. NCBI's taxonomy places the organism in Eukaryota, Metazoa, Chordata, Mammalia, Perissodactyla, Equidae.
CAUCUCAUCAAAUCUUUUUUUCUGGUUUUUUUUUUACCUUUCAACCCCCUUCACCCAUGUCUCCCCAUCAAAUCUUAAUUCUACCAUCUAGCGUAUAGCCUCUGCCUCCUUCCUCAGCUUUGUCACCCACAGAUUGAUAAAUACCCUUCGUGAUCCAAAUCAUCAACACAAGUGUUGACCAGCAGAAAUCUCGGCACCUGCCCUCCCAGUGAGCCAGAAGACUCUGCAUGUGGCUUCUCAACAUAGUGACACCCACAUCUCUCCAUUUUGCCCACAGAUCCUAAGAACAGGUGAAGCCUCGCCAAAUGUGGCCACACGACACCUGUGGCCUUUCAUGGGCCUCCUGAGCAUUUCUGCAGGUGAUCUCCAGCACCUCAACCAGCUUGAAAAUUUCUGUGACCUAGUGCUUCAAAAGAAGCGUGAGAGUGACAAAACAGGUGGAAGAUAACAUGACGACUGCUCAGGUCUGGAGAGUAGAUGCAGAUAAUCCACGUAACUGUGGGCAUGUCGUAAGCACUCAGUGAAUAACUUUGUAUUUUCAUCGGUCAUCCAGGUCAGUGCUCCGUCACUGACAAUGCAGAUCAAAGGCAGGAGAAGGUGGUUGUCUUCCCGACAAUGUUUGGAAAGAAAACUCCUUAGUCAGCAGCCCUGGAAAGCUUCACAUUUAGAGAAAUCUAGACUCUUCUUUCCCACCCCAAGUUUCUUUGGUUUUGCGGCUGGAACCUAACAUCUGUGAAGCAGGCAGGACCUCAUGGGCCCUGUGUCACCAGACACCUGUUGACAGGAUGCCUUCAGGGGUAGAAAAUCUGGGCAGAGCCCAGCAGUGACAACUGGUAUUUAUCCAAUAUCAGCUUCCACCCACCGGGAGAUGGAUGGGCAACUGGCCCCAAGAGAGGAGCAAAGAUGAGAACCGGCCAUCCGUCCUAGCUCGGAUGCUGGUGGGGACACACCAGGAAUCCCUUUCCCGAAUGACUGACAGGAGAGCCAAAGGUGCUUGUAGACAUGACGAUUUUCCCAGCUUAAGUGGAGCGUCUGCCACCGUGGUACCUCCAUGGGGCUGACCUCUGAGGAAAGGGUCCUUCCAGGCACUUCCAUAAAAGGCGACACUUGUCAGUGUGCCCAACUUUCAGUUACCUUGUGGUGUGCUUCUGAAGGAUUGCAAAAGAAGGGGAAGAGCCAUUAUUUUAAAUAAUCAUUUCAACAUGGAGCUUGGUGGGGAACAAAGAACGUACUUGGAGUUGCAGCUCGUGGGCCCUGGUGGCGCUUGGCUUUCCUCGUAGCUGCCCCCAAGCAUCACCAACCCACCACAGAGGAAGCCUGAGCCCUCGAGGGCCACAGACGACGUGGCUUGAACAUCGUUCCUAGGGGAGAAACAGGAAAGAGGCAACCAGAGUUUGAAUCCCGGCACUGCCACCUCAUAAGUGUGAGACUAUGAACCAGGCUGUAAGACGGGAUAGGAGUUAACGAAAAAGACACCAAAACAGGCUUCUUAGGAGAAUUAAAGAGAGAACUUGUGUUAAACACUUAGUGUGACAUUUGGAAAUACUAAAUGCUCGAGGGAGAAGAAGAAGCGAGGAGAGACACACAGAGAAGGGAAUGUGAAGAUGGAGGCAGAGAUUGGAGAGGUGUGUCUGCCGGUCAAGGAAUGCAAGGAUUGCCGGCAACCGCCAGAAGCUAGGAGAAAGGCACAGGGCAGUUUCUCCCUCAGAGACUCCAGGAGGAGCCAACCCCGCUGGCACUCUGAGUUUAUCCUCCGGCCUCCAGAACUGUGAGAGCAAGAACUUCUGUUGUUUUAAGCCCCCCAGGUCGUGGCAAUUUGUUACUCAGCCCUAGGAAACUAAUAUGGAUAAUAACACGUGACCAAGGUCACAUGGCUCCUCUGUCAUGAAGACGGGGUUUCCAUCUACCAAUCCAGCACUUGUUCCACU